UGAUAAAUACAUCAGACUUCAAUUUUCC
RNAcentral lists this non-coding RNA (28 nucleotides) under Bombyx mori (domestic silkworm). Lineage: Eukaryota; Metazoa; Arthropoda; Insecta; Lepidoptera; Bombycidae. The record is from RNAcentral.